GGCGAGUGAAGCGGCAACAGCUCAAUUUGAAAUCUGGCCCUUUCAGGGUCCGAGUUGUAAUUUGUAGAGGAUGCUUCGGCGAGGGCUCCCGUCUAAGUUCCCUGGAACGGGACGUCAUAGAGGGUGAGAAUCCCGUAUGUGAUGGGUUGCUCGAGCCAUGUGAAGCUCCUUCGACGAGUCGAGUUGUUUG
Molecule: ribosomal RNA, 190 nt
Filed under: Aplosporella prunicola
Lineage: Eukaryota; Fungi; Ascomycota; Dothideomycetes; Botryosphaeriales; Aplosporellaceae
Description: partial large subunit ribosomal RNA
Rfam family: Eukaryotic large subunit ribosomal RNA
Source: RNAcentral